RNAcentral lists this ribosomal RNA (1100 nucleotides) under Minchinia chitonis. RNAcentral describes it as "partial Eukaryotic small subunit ribosomal RNA". It matches the Rfam family "Eukaryotic small subunit ribosomal RNA", at positions 1 to 1128 of the family's 1831-position model. Lineage: Eukaryota; Endomyxa; Ascetosporea; Haplosporida; Haplosporidiidae. The record is from RNAcentral.
ACCUGGUUGAUCCUGCCAGUAGUCAUAUGCUUGUCUCAAAGAUUAAGCCAUGCAUGUCUAAGUAUAAGCGUUAUACUGUGAAACUGCGAAUGGCUCAUUAAAUCAGCAAUAGUUUCUUUGGUGGUGUUUACUACAUGGAUAACCGUAGUAAUUCUAGAGCUAAUACAUGCGUAAAUCCCGACUUCGGAAGGGACGUAUUUAUUAGAUAAAGACCGACCUCGUUCUGCGGUGAAUCAUGAUAACUUCACGGACCGCAUGGCCUCGUGCCGGCGGUGUUCCAUUCAAAUUUCUGCCCUAUCAACUUUCGACGGUAGGAUAGAGGCCUACCGUGGUGUUCACGGGUGACGGAGAAUUAGGGUUCGAUUCCGGAGAGGGAGCCUGAGAAACGGCUACCACAUCCAAGGAAGGCAGCAGGCGCGCAAAUUACCCAAUCCUGACACAGGGAGGUAGUGACAAUAAAUAACAAUGGCGGGCCUAUACAGGUCUGCCUUUUGGAAUGAGAGCAAGUUAAAUCGAUCAUCGAGGAUCAAUUGGAGGGCAAGUCUGGUGCCAGCAGCCGCGGUAAUUCCAGCUCCAAUAGCGUAUAUUUAAGUUGUUGCAGUUAAAAAGCUCGUAGUUGGAUUUCGGUUAAGAGCGACCGGUCCGCCGUUUGGUGUGCACUGGUUGGUUUUAACUUCCUGUAGAGGACGUGCUCUGGGCUUAACGGUCUGGACUCGGAGUCUACGUGGUUACUUUGAAAAAAUUAGAGUGUUCAAAGCGGGCUUACGCUUGAAUAUUUCAGCAUGGAAUAACACUAUAGGACUCCUGUCCUAUUUCGUUGGUCUCGGGACGGGAGUAAUGAUUAAGAGGAACAGUUGGGGGCAUUCGUAUUUCAUUGUCAGAGGUGAAAUUCUUGGAUUUAUGAAAGACGAACUUCUGCGAAAGCAUUUGCCAAGGAUGUUUUCAUUAAUCAAGAACGAAAGUUGGGGGCUCGAAGAUGAUUAGAUACCAUCCUAGUCUCAACCAUAAACGAUGCCGACUAGGGAUUGGCGGAUGUUAAUUGAUGACUCCGCCAGCACCUUAUGAGAAAUCAAAGUCUUUGGGUUCCGGGGGGAGUAUGG